RNAcentral lists this unclassified non-coding RNA (331 nucleotides) under Basidiomycota sp. Its description in RNAcentral is "partial contains small subunit ribosomal RNA, internal transcribed spacer 1, and 5.8S ribosomal RNA". The stretch from base 1 to 47 matches the Rfam family "Eukaryotic small subunit ribosomal RNA", at positions 1785 to 1831 of the family's 1831-position model. The record is from RNAcentral. Lineage: Eukaryota; Fungi; Basidiomycota.
AAAGUCGUAACAAGGUUUCCGUAGGUGAACCUGCGGAAGGAUCAUUCACAAUAUCCUCUUUUUUUCAUUUUUCGUUUUCUUGUUUUGUGAUGAAACAAUGAACAAUGAACAAAUGAAGGGUGACAACAAAGCCCAAAUUUAUGUGUACUGUACUCAGGGUUGAUAUCAAUUCUUCCCUGAUUUCAUUCAUCUGCUUGUAAACAAAAUAACGAAAUAAAUGGGGUAAAUGGAAGGCAAAUAAUAAAUCGUUAUUUUGGCAUUUUAGAAUGACAAUGUAUGAAAAUAUUUAUAAAUAUAAAUAUAACUUUCAACAAUGGAUCUCUUGGCUCUC